Molecule: ribosomal RNA, 168 nt
Filed under: Thunnus orientalis (Pacific bluefin tuna)
Lineage: Eukaryota; Metazoa; Chordata; Actinopteri; Scombriformes; Scombridae
Description: partial 12S rRNA
Source: RNAcentral
CACCGCGGUUAUACGAGAGGCCCAAGUUGACAGACACCGGCGUAAAGCGUGGUUAAGGUAUACCAAAACUAAAGCCGAACACCUUCAGGGCAGUUAUACGCAUCCGAAGGCACGAAGCCCCACCACGAAAGUGGCUUUAUGAACCCUCACCCCACGAAAGCUAUGACA